GACGAACGCUGGCGGCGUGCCUAAUACAUGCAAGUAGAACGCUGAGGGAGGAGCUUGCUUCUCUGGAUGAGUUGCGAACGGGUGAGUAACGCGUAGGUAACCUGCCUGGUAGCGGGGGAUAACUCUUGGAAACGAUAGCUAAUACCGCAUAAGAGUAGAUGUUGCAUGACAUUUGCUUAAAAGGUGCAAUUGCAUCACUACCAGAUGGACCUGCGUUGUAUUAGCUAGUUGGUGGGGUAACGGCUCACCAAGGCGACGAUACAUAGCCGGCCUGAGAGGGUGAACCGCCACAAUGGGAACGGGACACGGCCCAGAACCCUUCCGGAAGCAGCAGGAGGGAAACUUCGGCAAUGGACGGAAGGCCGAACGAGCAAAGCCGGGUGAGGGAAGAAGGGUUUCCGGUCGUAAAGCUCCGGUGUAAGGGAAGAAAGAGAUGGGUAGUGGAAAGUGCACACUGUGACGGUAUCUAACCAGAAAGAGACGGCUAACUACGUG
RNAcentral lists this ribosomal RNA (495 nucleotides) under uncultured bacterium. RNAcentral describes it as "partial 16S ribosomal RNA". It matches the Rfam family "Bacterial small subunit ribosomal RNA", at positions 28 to 507 of the family's 1533-position model. The record is from RNAcentral.